ACUCAAAUGAAUAGACGGGGGCCCGCACAAGCGGUGGAGUAUGUGGUUUAAUUCGAAGCAACGCGAAGAACCUUACCAGCCCUUGACAUCCCGUGAAGGCUUCCAGAGAUGGAUUCCCUCCAGCAAUGGACACGGAGACAGAUGCUGCAUGGCUGUUGUCAGCUCGUGUCGUGAGAUGUUGGGUUAAGUCCCGCAACGAGCGCAACCCUCGCCUUUAGUUGCCAGCGGUUCGGCCGGGCACUCUAAAGGGACUGCCGGUGAUAAGCCGGAGGAAGGUGGGGAUGACUUCAAGUCCUCAUGGCUCUUACGGGCUGGGCUACACACGUACUACAAUGGCGGUGACAGAGGGAAAAUCCUCAAAAACCGUCUCAGUUCGGAUUGGGGUCUGCAACUCGACCCCAUGAAGGUGGAAUCGCUAGUAAUCGCGGAUCAGCACGCCGCGGUGAAUACGUUCCCGGGCCUUGUACACACCGCCCGU
This 478-nucleotide ribosomal RNA is filed under the name uncultured bacterium. RNAcentral describes it as "partial 16S ribosomal RNA". It matches the Rfam family "Bacterial small subunit ribosomal RNA", at positions 899 to 1397 of the family's 1533-position model. The record is from RNAcentral.